This 458-nucleotide ribosomal RNA is filed under the name uncultured Thiobacillus sp. RNAcentral describes it as "bacterial SSU rRNA". It matches the Rfam family "Bacterial small subunit ribosomal RNA", at positions 919 to 1382 of the family's 1533-position model. Lineage: Bacteria; Pseudomonadati; Pseudomonadota; Betaproteobacteria; Nitrosomonadales; Thiobacillaceae. The record is from RNAcentral.
ACCCGCACAAGCGGUGGAGCAUGUGGUUUAAUUCGAAGAUACGCGAAGACCUUACCCAGGCUUGACAUGGUACGAACCUUGUAGAAAUAUGAGGGUGCUCUUCGGAGAGCGUACACACAGGUGCUGCACGGCUGUCGUCAGCUCGUGUCGUGAGAUGUUGGGUUAAGUCCCGCAACGAGCGCAACCCUUAUCAUUAGUUGCUACGCAAGGGCACUCUAAUGAGACUGCCGGUGACAAACCGGAGGAAGGUGGGGAUGACGUCAAGUCCUCAUGGCCCUUAUGGGUAGGGCUUCACACGUCAUACAAUGGUCGGUACAGAGGGUUGCCAAGCCGCGAGGCGGAGCCAAUCCCACAAAGCCGAUCGUAGUCCGGAUUGUUCUCUGCAACUCGAGAGCAUGGAGUCGGAAUCGCUAGUAAUCGCAGGUCAGCAUACUGCGGUGAAUACGUUCCCGGGUCUU